AUGGGUUUCCCGAUGCAGCUUACAGCACAGCUGCAGGAACGCUGGCGCUGGCGCGAAGGAGGAGACGGUGGGCGGUGGGAAGCAGCAGCCGGCGAAGAGCAGGGUGGCUUUUUUGGCAGCGGCGUUGGCUCGCACAAGCAAAGGAGUCACCGUAGCUCUCCUGGCGUUCCCGGCAAUAGCAGAGCAGAUCCUGCACGCACGGUGUCCGGCUGUCACCUGCUGACUGAGGCAGGCAACUGCAUGAGCCCUGGCGGUUUUGGCAACGCCGUGCCCUUGCCGGGGCACGUGGGCUCGACGCGAUCCCGAACCGCAUCCGCCGUCGGCGCCGUUCGGUCGUGCUGCAAGCUCUGUCCGACCAUUCCGCUUGCUUAUCUUCCUUAAUUGCCUGCCUGCGUGAGGACACGGAUCCGAAUAGCUGCUACAGAGCAAGCUGCUCUGCCACAGCUCCUCCUGUGCCCAUCCUCCUGUUGAAGAAAUGUCAAAUACUCCACGCUGAGGCGCGCUGAUCAUCUUAAAACAAAAGAGAUCUAGAGUAGGUGUCUGUAGCUUUACAUUUAAUCUCUCCAAACUCAUCUAGCUACCAGCACCUCUCUCAUUUUGGAGCUUAUCAGGGGACAUCUGUUAGCUUUACAUCUACCUAUUUAUUUUUCAAAAAGGGAUUCUUAACAUAGGUCACUUGGGAGGAAUAUAGGAAUGUUGUCAGAGUAUGCAGGGAUGCAACGAGGAAGGCUAAGGCCCAUUUGGAAUUAAAUCUGGCUAGAGAUGUCAAGGACAGCAAGAAGGGCUUCUUCAAAUACAUCAGCAGUAAGAGGAAGACUAGGGAAAAUGUGGGCCCUUUGCUGAAUGGGGUGGGUGCCCUGGUGACGAAGGAUGCAGAGAAGGCAGAGUUACUGAAUGCCUUCUUUGCUUCAGUCUUUACUGCUCAG
Molecule: long non-coding RNA, 926 nt
Filed under: Apteryx haastii (Great spotted kiwi)
Lineage: Eukaryota; Metazoa; Chordata; Aves; Apterygiformes; Apterygidae
Description: lncRNA (ENSAHAG00000006112.1)
Source: RNAcentral